This 230-nucleotide ribosomal RNA is filed under the name uncultured Alicycliphilus sp. RNAcentral's name for it is "partial 16S ribosomal RNA". It matches the Rfam family "Bacterial small subunit ribosomal RNA", at positions 550 to 774 of the family's 1533-position model. Lineage: Bacteria; Pseudomonadati; Pseudomonadota; Betaproteobacteria; Burkholderiales; Comamonadaceae. The record is from RNAcentral.
AGCUGAUCACUGGGUUUAAAGCGUGCGCAGGCGGUUUUGUAAGACAGUGGUGAAAUCCCCGGGCUCAACCUGGGAACUGCCAUUGUGACUGCAAGGCUAGAGUGCGGCAGAGGGGGAUGGAAUUCCGCGUGUAGCAGUGAAAUGCGUAGAUAUGCGGAGGAACACCGAUGGCGAAGGCAAUCCCCUGGGCCUGCACUGACGCUCAUGCACGAAAGCGUGGGGAGCAAACA